AAACCAAACAGAAAAAAAUGCUAAAACUAUUUGAACAGAAAAACCUAGAAUUUGUGAGAGCCGUCAGAUGAAUUAGGAAUUGUGAAAUAAAAGGAAAUCUAUAGAUUGGAGCAUCUCUCCCUACCUUGCACGACUCUCCUUCCCAAUAUCUCAGGAUUCUAAAAAAAAUCUCCCGAUCUCCCCGGCGGCGGCUCCCCUCCCCCCGUUCUCUCUUCUUUUCUCUUGAUGGUGGAUAGUGGGAGUUCAGGUGAUGGGGAGGAAGAGAUGGAUGAAUCAUUCUCUGGAUAUACCUGCCAUCGCCUGAUCCGCUUCUGCUGCACCCCGGUCAAAUCGACUCGCUCGGCGGAUCCUCUCGGCAACAACAGGAUACACGCACAGCUCGAAUCGAUUGAAAGCAGUAGGGGCGUGAGGCUCCUGUUUCACGUUAUUCCUUUUUCUGAAGAUAGAUUACAGGGGGUUACAUGUAUAUAAAUAUAACUAACCUAGACCUCUUACAAACCGACUAGGUAUAGGUAUCCUACACGGACACACAUGGAUGGACAGAUGAUUAACUCUACAUCGUGUAUCCUGUUCAACGACACGGGAUCUUUGUCGAUACCACCAAGGCAUCAUGUGCUGAUGGUUGUCCGGCUACAAAACAAUAGGCAUGCAGAGUGCCUCUCCAAUUUAUUGACAGCAAAUUGUGCAGACACGAGUAGUUGACUAGCCAUACUAUUGCUAAUUAAAUAUUUCACGUUGUCCAGCUGCUGAUGUUUUCUCCAUGUGUCGUUCACACGCUGCCACCGGCCAUCUGGUGGCAUGCUGUCAAUCCUCCAUAUCAGGUUCCUCUGCUGCUCUCCCAAGUCGCAACGUAUGUUUGUAAGUCAUAGCCGAAGAUGAAUGCUUCAAUCAGUAUAUAUAGUUGUCUGAUGUUACUGGAUUUAACGCAUCAAUGGUGGUCAUGGUGCACCGUACAUCAUGUAUGCAGCCCUUUUAUCAG
This is a long non-coding RNA of Triticum aestivum (bread wheat), 979 nucleotides long. RefSeq lists it as uncharacterized. The transcript has 3 exons. The record is from RefSeq and is a predicted model, not a curated record. Lineage: Eukaryota; Viridiplantae; Streptophyta; Magnoliopsida; Poales; Poaceae.